GUUUUGAGUGAUCCACAGAAGAGAGUAGUGUAUGAUCAAUACGGAGAAGAGGGGUUGAAAGGGCAGGUGCCACCUCCAGGUGCCGGUGGAUUUUCUGGCCCUUCAGAUGGGGGUGGUCAUGGGUCGUUUCGAUUCAACCCCCGUAGUGCUGAUGAUAUAUUCUCCGAAUUCUUUGGGUUUUCCACCCCGUAUGGUGGGAUGGGAGAUAUGGGUGGACGGGCUGGUGGUCCAAGUUUCAGUAGAGGUAUGUUUGGGGAAGAUAUUUUCACUUCAUUCAGGAAUGCUGCUGGCGAAGGUGCAUCUGGUAAUGCUCCACGAAAGGCCGCUCCUAUAGAGCGGGCACUUCCUUGUAGUUUGGAGGAUCUAUACAAGGGAACCACCAAGAAGAUGAAGAUAUCCAGAGAAGUUACUGAUGCUACUGGGAGACCCAGUACAACAGAGGAAAUUCUAACGAUUGAUAUCAAACCAGGAUGGAAGAAGGGGACUAAAAUAACAUUUCCAGAGAAAGGAAACGAGCAACGAGGCAUAAUUCCAUCAGACCUUGUCUUUAUAAUUGAUGAGAAGCCGCAUAGCGUCUUCAAGAGAGAUGGAAAUGACCUCGUUGUCACCCAGAAAAUCCCCUUGGUAGAGGCUCUUACUGGAUACACUGCACAAAUAACAACCCUUGAUGGCCGGAAUCUAACUGUACCAAUUAAUUCCAUCAUUAGUCCAAAUUAUGAAGAAGUUAUCAAAGGAGAAGGUAUGCCCAUUCCGAAGGAACCUAGCAGAAAAGGCAACUUGAGAGUAAAGUUUAACAUCAAGUUCCCUAGCAAGCUUACUUCUGAGCAGAAAGCUGGCAUAAAGCGGUACUUGACAUGAUGAGUGGACAUUAGCUCCUAUAGUUUUCCAUCAAAUGCUACAUAAGCUUCACCCCGUCUCGUCUUCAUCAUGCAAAGAAAUCUGCACUUCGUUUAUUUAUUUAUUUCUUCUGCAACAUUUAAGUCUGUUAUUUCAAUAUCACUUGCCUUCUAAACCAAACAUCCCGUGGAAUCUCUAUUUCCAUUGUUUUGUGUGGCAUAGAGUACAAUUGGAUCCACCUCUCUCCUCUUGUGUCAAUACUAGAUGUGGGUGUGCCCGUGCGGGCUUACAGAGUGUAGGCCCUAUGGCAUACCUCUCUUUUUCCUGCUAUAUUAUACACUGAUUAUUGAAGCAUAAG
RNAcentral lists this unclassified non-coding RNA (1195 nucleotides) under Hevea brasiliensis (rubber tree). Lineage: Eukaryota; Viridiplantae; Streptophyta; Magnoliopsida; Malpighiales; Euphorbiaceae. The record is from RNAcentral.